ACACGACACGUGGAUGCGGCUUCCUCAGUUCACCAUGCUCAUAAAGAAAACAGCAGUGUAUUUCAGCUGACUGGCAGAGACAGUGCGGUGCGUGAAGGGAAGGUUUGAUUUGGAGAGACAGUUGUUGCUGUCAUAGGCAAGCCUGGGAAAGAACUGAGAAAACGUAUUAAGAGUCAAGACAGACACCAGAAAGAGGCCCAAGAAGACUUGGACGCAGGAACAGAGGACAGCGAGGGAUGUUCAGAACUCACUCAGUCCGGUUUGGAGAAUGACUUCUCAACCCAAGACUAAGAGCAGCUGUGAGAAAGCAUCAGUUUGGAAGCAUUUGGGAAAAUGUAAAGUGCUAAAGAAGGUUCCCGGCAAAGAGGAUUGACUGUUAUGGGUCAGAGCCAGCUCUCACAAACAGAACAUGAAAAGACAUGAAAACCUGGUGCACAACAAAAUGCAAACAGAAAAGGCUCUCCGCAGCCGGUAAAAGGCUAGCAUGCAACGAAGAUGAAGUUCACACAGGUGAAUGGGAGAGUUGUAAAAGACAAAACGCUUUUUAGACAUAGCUCCAAAAUGCAGGUGCUAGUUGAGCUCGUGAGCUGGUUCUGCUCUUUUCUCAUGUUUUUGUUUUGUGGUGGAAAACUUAGUGUGUUGAGCAUAAUACGUCAACCCUGUUACCAAUAGAUAAAGGGGCUAGACAUUUUUUAGAAAUUGUAUUUUUUGUCUGAAACGUCCAAUUCAAAAGCUUCCAUUCCCCUUGGGUUGGCGCACAAUUGUCCCAGCGUCGGUUAGGAGAGGGUUUGUCUGGCAGGGAUGUCCUUGUCCCACUGCGCUGUAGCAACUCCUGUGGCGGGCCGGGCGCAUGCAUGCUGACACGGUCGACAAGUGUAUGAUGUUUCCUCCGACACAUUGGUGUGGCUGGCUUCCGGAUUAAGCGGGCAUUGUCAGGAAGCAGUGUAGCUUGGCAGGGUCGUGUUUCGGGGAGGACGCAUGGCUCUCUACCUUCGCCUCUCCCGAGUCCGUAGGGAGUUGCGGCAAUGAGACAAGACUAUAACUACCAAUUGGAUACCACGAACAUUGGGGAGAUAAAGGGGUUAAAAGAAAAAAAAAUAACAAAAAAAUAUCAUAUGAAACCCUGUUAUGGUCAGCCUUUACUUAAUAGGCACUUAUUGUGGUCAUUUUUUUGUUUAAUCUCUUGAGAUGGGAAACCAUUUUCUAUUUUUGUUUUUAUUCAUUUGAAUAUGGUCUUUAUAACAGAAGAUACAAUUAGGUGAACUUUUAGUUAUGAAUAUAAACUGGCAAUAUUCUAGUGGCCAAUCUUCGUUGCAAUAGGCCCAUGAAAUAAUAUCAGCUUUUAUGAUGCUGGUAAAGAUAGUACCUUUACAGACGGCCCCUAACUGCGCAGUGUAGCCUAUAGGUUAUACACUGAGUGUACAAAAUAGUAAGGACACCUUCCUAAUAUCUAGUUAGCCCCCCACCCCAUUUUGUCCUCAGAACAUGGAUUCUACAAGGUGUUGAAUGCGUUCCACAGGGAUGCAGUCCCAUGUUGAAGCCAAUGCUUCCCACAGUUGCCAAGUUGGCUGGAUGUCCUUUGGUUGGUGGAACGGAGCGUGAAAAAACCAUCAGUGUUGCAGUUCUUGACACAAACCGGUGUGCCUGGCACCUACUACCAUACUCCGUUCAAAGACACAUCUUUUGUCUUGCCUGUUCACCCUCUGAAUGGCACACAUACACUAUCCAUGUCUCAAUUGUCCCCAGGCUUAGAAAUCAUUCUUUAACCUGUCCUGUCCCCUUCAUCUACAAGUGACAUCAAUAAGGGAUCAUAGCUUUCACUUUGAUUCACCUGGUCAGUCUGUCAUGGAAAUAGCAGGUGUCCUUAAUGUUUUGUACACUUAGUGUAAAUUGUACAAUAAUUAUUCAUUUAUGGGUUUUGUUAUGUAGCCUAUUGUUGUCACUUUAUUGAACCUGCCUGCAACCCACCCGCCUGGGGACUGUGGGUUAUGAGACAAUCCCCGCAUCACUAGCUUGCAUGUUCUGCAGCCUUUUAGAGAUAGGGAGAGGAUGACUGGGAUGCAGUUUGGCA
Molecule: long non-coding RNA, 2071 nt
Organism: Oncorhynchus masou masou (cherry salmon)
Lineage: Eukaryota; Metazoa; Chordata; Actinopteri; Salmoniformes; Salmonidae
Exons: 4
Source: RefSeq, a predicted model, not a curated record